UCUCUGGUGUGUAGAUGGCGGCCGGAAUAAGAAUUCUAAUUGGAACUAUUUUCACAUCAAAGAGUCCACUACACUUAAACAUCCAAUCAGUGUUCCAAAAACGACAUAACUUCCACAUUUUAUUGGAAGACUUUUAUAACUUAUUAUGUUUUCAAUGAACAUAUUAUUUAGACUUUUCAGAUUCGGCUAUCUUUUCAAAUUCGUAAGAUUUUCGCGGAAGGACCAGGACAAGGUUGUAUCGCACUCAUCAAUGCUUCACAAUGGAGUAUCACUGCGCCUCAGCAUUGCGGUGGCUGUGGACAUGGAAGCGCAUGCGCGUCAAUAACAAUUCGAUGGAAAGGUCGAGAACGUUCACCAUGUUCCUGGAGCUUUGCUGCAACCCAAGACCAUAAGAGGAGAACAACGGAACAUCAAGCAAAAGCUUAAGAAGUGGGAAAGGACAUGAUGGUAUGGAUGGCAGACAAUUUACAACACAGAAAAUAUAUCUGUGUUAAUUUGCCAUUCUCUGUAUAAGAAUCCUACUCAUUGACUACAGUUCAGCCUUCAACACUAUUACCCCCUCGAGACUGAUUACGAAUCUUACUGAUCUUGGACUAAGCCCUACUCUCUACAACUGGAUCUUCAGUUUUCUGACCCGCAGGCCAC
Chiloscyllium plagiosum (whitespotted bambooshark) is the source of this 645-nucleotide long non-coding RNA. RefSeq lists it as uncharacterized. Lineage: Eukaryota; Metazoa; Chordata; Chondrichthyes; Orectolobiformes; Hemiscylliidae. The record is from RefSeq and is a predicted model, not a curated record.